Sinocyclocheilus grahami is the source of this 625-nucleotide long non-coding RNA. RefSeq lists it as uncharacterized. The record is from RefSeq and is a predicted model, not a curated record. Lineage: Eukaryota; Metazoa; Chordata; Actinopteri; Cypriniformes; Cyprinidae. The transcript has 3 exons.
CGCUGGGGAUUUCACACUUUAUCACCUCGUCUAACGCUCCGCAGAGCACUGGAAAUCGCCGUCUGCAGUAGAGUAAUCCCGUAGUAAUGAGAUUUGAGGUACAUCAAAGUACCGUGCCUUUGAGGGAGGAAAACAGAUCAGAAAAAUAGGACUGAAAUGCAAAUCCUUCACGAAGAUGACCAUGAGUUUUCUACCUCGAGAACACAAUAUGAAAGUGGUGAAUGAGACAGACAGCGAGAAGCUCCCUCUGCCUCACUAAGCCAAGGAGAUGUGUUGAUGAAAGAUCUACCUGUGGCCAUUCAGUUCAACCCCACAACAUGAUUGUGCCAUUUCUGAAAACCAAUUACUGAAUUCAGUGCCACUUGUCACUACCAAGGCCGCAUUAACCAUUGGGCUAGGAAGGGCUGAAGCCCAGGGGCCUGAGCAAGAAGUAGAUUGACGGACAUCGGUAGUGCCGAUCGCCAAAGCUCCACCACGCUCCUCACUUUUUAGCACUAUUAUUUAGUGAAGUUUUUCCAUAAAUUCCAUGCAUAUCAUCAGAGAUUAAAACGUCACAUUUGAAUUUGGUUUUGAACGACCUGUGCACGUAUCUCCUAUCAGGUAAUCGCUGCGUGUAAUAUCUCUA